RNAcentral lists this ribosomal RNA (227 nucleotides) under uncultured bacterium. RNAcentral describes it as "partial 16S ribosomal RNA". It matches the Rfam family "Bacterial small subunit ribosomal RNA", at positions 568 to 795 of the family's 1533-position model. The record is from RNAcentral.
UGCGUAGGUGGCCUGACAAGUCAGAGGUGAAAGGCUACGGCUUAACCGUAGUAAGCCUUUGAAACUGACAGGCUUGAGUGCAGGAGAGGAAAGUGGAAUUCCUAGUGUAGCGGUGAAAUGCGUAGAUAUUAGGAGGAACACCAGUGGCGAAGGCGACUUUCUGGACUGUAACUGACACUGAGGCACGAAAGCGUGGGGAGCAAACAGGAUUAGAUACCCUGGUAGUC